This is an RNA transcript of Magnolia sinica, 751 nucleotides long. It is a transcript of the gene named homeobox-leucine zipper protein REVOLUTA-like, with no coding region annotated. The transcript is spliced from 5 exons. NCBI's taxonomy places the organism in Eukaryota, Viridiplantae, Streptophyta, Magnoliopsida, Magnoliales, Magnoliaceae. The record is from RefSeq and is a predicted model, not a curated record.
GUUUUGAUCUUCUGCAUGGUGGGGGCCACCUUAUGCUCUCUGCUUAGAUGUCUCACAGACAUGCCUGGUUGGCAUGCGUGCUGCGCCUGUUGUUCUGCGAACUUUUAGCCAAAGAUUGAGCAAGGGUUUCAAUGAUGCCAUCAAUGGAUUCCAUGAUGAUGGCUGGUCAGUGUUGUCUUCAGAUUGAGUCCAAGAUAUAAUAAUUGCAAUUAAUUCAACCAAGAAUAUGGGCACCCAUGUCACUAAUGCAAAUGCUCUCCCACUGCCUAAAGACAUUCUCUGUGCAAAGGCCUCCAUGUUAAUCCAGAAUGUUCCUCCUGCACUGCUGGUUCAAUUUCUAAGGGAGCAUCGUUCCAAAUGGGCUGAUUACAACAUUGAUGCGUAUUCUGCUGCAUCACUGAAAGCUGGCUCAUAUGCCUUUCCAGGAUUAAGGCCUACAAGAUUUUCUGGGAGCCAAAUCAUCAUGCCUCUUGCUCACACAGUGGAAAACGAAGAGUUUCUUGAAGUAGUUCGACUCGAAGGACAUGUCAUCACCCAAGAAGAAGCUGUUCUGUCAAGAGAUAUCCAUCUCCUGUAGCUUUGCAGUGGAGCUUUCUCCGAGCUUGUUUUUGCUCCAAUCGAUGAAUUAUUCCCUGAUGAUGCUCUGCUGCUACCGUCUGGUUUCCAAGUCUUUCCACUGGAUUCAAAAAUAGUUGAGUCUAAAUCUACUGAAUGGCUAUUUCCUGAAUCUUGUAUUAAACUGGAUGAUAUU